GAUUGAACGCUGGCGGCGUGCUUAACACAUGCAAGUCGUACGCGAAAGGGACUUCGGUCCCGAGUAAAGUGGCGCACGGGUGAGUAACACGUGGAUGAUCUGCCUCUAUGAUGGGGAUAACAGUUGGAAACGACUGCUAAUACCGAAUACGCUCAUGAUGAACGUUGUGAGGAAAGGUGGCCUCUGCUUGCAAGCUAUCGCAUAGAGAUGAGUCCGCGUCCCAUUAGCUCGUUGGUGGGGUAACGGCCUACCAAGGCAACGAUGGGUAGCCGAUCUGAGAGGAUGAUCGGCCACACUGGAACUGAAACACGGUCCAGACUCCUACGGGAGGCAGCAGUGGGGAAUAUUGCGCAAUGGGCGAAAGCCUGACGCAGCGACGCCGCGUGAGGGAUGAAGGUCUUCGGAUCGUAAACCUCUGUCAGAAGGGAAGAAACUGGGGUGUUCUAAUCAGCAUCCCACUGACGGUACCUUCAAAGGAAGCACCGGCUAACUCCGUGCCAGCAGCCGCGGUAAUACGGAGGGUGCAAGCGUUAAUCGGAAUCACUGGGCGUAAAGCGCACGUAGGCUGUUAUGUAAGUCAGGGGUGAAAGCCCACGGCUCAACCGUGGAACUGCCCUUGAUACUGCACGACUCUGAAUCCGGGAGAGGGUGGCGGAAUUCCAGGUGUAGGAGUGAAAUCCGUAGAUAUCUGGAGGAACAUCAGUGGCGAAGGCGGCCACCUGGACCGGUAUGAC
This 734-nucleotide ribosomal RNA is filed under the name Desulfovibrio piger. RNAcentral describes it as "bacterial SSU rRNA". It matches the Rfam family "Bacterial small subunit ribosomal RNA", at positions 27 to 744 of the family's 1533-position model. Lineage: Bacteria; Pseudomonadati; Thermodesulfobacteriota; Desulfovibrionia; Desulfovibrionales; Desulfovibrionaceae. The record is from RNAcentral.